This is a long non-coding RNA of Dendronephthya gigantea, 414 nucleotides long. RefSeq lists it as uncharacterized. The transcript has 4 exons. The record is from RefSeq and is a predicted model, not a curated record. NCBI's taxonomy places the organism in Eukaryota, Metazoa, Cnidaria, Anthozoa, Malacalcyonacea, Nephtheidae.
AGGCAUUUUUGCCGUACGAAAGUGUUAUCAAAGACGUGUCAUUACUAUAAUAUGCUUGAACAAGAUGAUUCCUGUACAAAAGAGUUGGCAUCGGAGAUUUUGGAUAUUGAGGAUCUUGUUCGACUUGGGAAGAAAGAAAGUCGCUGUCCUUAUUUCAUCUGUGAAAAAUUCCAUUUGUGAAAAAUGCUGACAUUGUAUUCAUGCCGUACAAUUAUUUAAUCGAUACAAAGUCAUGACAAUCAAACGACAUUGAUAUUUCAAAGAGUAUUAUCAUCUUCGACGAAGCACACAAUAUUGUAAGGGGAUGUUCUUUAUGUAUAAAGAAUAAAAUACCUCCUUUCAAAGAUCAUCACACAGAAAUUUUCUGUGGAUCUUUUGAGUAUGGAAGACUUAGUUGUUGCAUGAUUGUAGCAA